Small nucleolar RNA from Cucurbita maxima (winter squash), 90 nucleotides. RefSeq annotates it as small nucleolar RNA SNORD96 family. The transcript has a single exon. The record is from RefSeq and is a predicted model, not a curated record. NCBI's taxonomy places the organism in Eukaryota, Viridiplantae, Streptophyta, Magnoliopsida, Cucurbitales, Cucurbitaceae.
AUGCCUAUGAUGAUAUCGGUUAACAAAAUACCAUCUUUCGGGACUGAAUGGCUAUUCAAGCCUUGCUGUCAAUCCGCUAUUCUGAGGCAU